UACGGGGGGGGCAAGCGUUGUUCGGAAUUACUGGGCGUAAAGGGCUCGUAGGCGGCCAACUAAGUCAUACGUGAAAUCCCUCAGCUUAACUGGGGAACUGCGUGUGAUACUGGAUGGCUUGGAUUUGGGAGAGGGAUGCGGAAUUCCAGGUGUAGCGGUGAAAUGCGUAGAUAUCUGGAGGAACACCGGUGGCGAAGGCGGCAUCCUGGACCAAUAUUGACGCUGAGGCGCGAAAGCCAGGGGAGCAAACGGG
RNAcentral lists this ribosomal RNA (253 nucleotides) under uncultured bacterium. RNAcentral describes it as "partial 16S ribosomal RNA". It matches the Rfam family "Bacterial small subunit ribosomal RNA", at positions 524 to 776 of the family's 1533-position model. The record is from RNAcentral.